Molecule: unclassified non-coding RNA, 2498 nt
Filed under: Bactrocera tryoni
Lineage: Eukaryota; Metazoa; Arthropoda; Insecta; Diptera; Tephritidae
Description: transcription initiation factor IIB, transcript variant X2
Source: RNAcentral
GACACCCCGUUAUGGUUAGGGUUCAGCGGUAAUAGAAAAGCUUCUGUGUUUAUAUACCAAUUUAGAUGCAAAGAAAAUUUUUUAGGAAGUGUUUAGUAAUAUUAACUAUAUAUCCCAAAAUUUUCAGUAUAAAAAGAAAUGUCGAGUAUAAAUAGUAGAUCCGAUGGCAGUAGCAAAUUAUGUUGCUACGCUCAUCCUGAAGCACCACUAAUUGAGGACUACAGAGCUGGAGACAUGAUUUGCUCAGAAUGUGGACUUGUAGUAGGUGAUCGUGUUAUUGAUGUAGGCUCGGAGUGGCGUACGUUUAGUAAUGAAAAAAGUGGUGUUGAUCCAAGCCGUGUCGGAGGAGCUGAAAAUCCAUUGCUUGGUGGGGGAGAUCUGUCAACAAUAAUUGGACCGGGAACAGGGUCUGCAUCCUAUGACGCAUUUGGUGCAGCAAAAUAUCAAAAUAGACGCACAAUGAGUAGCUCCGAUAGAUCAUUGAUUUCAGCCUUCAAGGAAAUAUCUACAAUGGCAGAUCGGAUAAAUCUUCCAAAAACAAUAGUUGAUCGCGCUAAUAAUCUCUUUAAGCAGGUACAUGAUGGUAAAAAUCUCAAAGGACGGUCUAAUGAUGCUAAGGCAUCUGCAUGUUUAUAUAUUGCCUGCCGACAAGAGGGAGUUCCUCGUACUUUCAAAGAAAUCUGUGCUGUUAGCAAAAUAAGCAAAAAGGAAAUUGGUCGUUGCUUCAAGUUGACUCUAAAAGCACUUGAAACAAGUGUAGAUUUAAUUACUACAGCGGAUUUCAUGUCCAGAUUUUGUGCCAAUCUUGACCUUCCAAAUAUGGUACAGCGAGCUGCGACAUAUAUAGCGAAAAAAGCUGUCGAAAUGGACAUUGUUCCAGGAAGAUCGCCAAUUUCAGUUGCCGCCGCAGCUAUAUAUAUGGCUUCUCAGCAAUGAAACGUUUGCUGUAUGAACACGUAGCACUAAAAAUGUGUAGUCUAUAUGGAGCAAAUUCAACAAGGUCUAUUUGGAUAAAGGCAAGUACAUAUAUAAAUAUUGGUAUUAUAACUUCGUUUAAUUAUAUUGUGUAUAUAAUUCAGACUCGUGGCCAAAUGUUUUGGGAAGUCGACUGCCAGGUGAAUUCAGAUGCGUUUUUUAAAAACAACUUCCGAAUGAAGCGCAAUUCUUUCAUUCAAUUGUGCAUUAUCUUGAAAGGUUUGGAGAAGAAAAACACUAACUACCGCAAAGCAAUUCCAUUAGAGAAACGCAUUGCUAUUACUUUAUAUGCUCUUGGCUCUUCUGCAGAAUACCGAACAAUUGGAAAUAUGUUCGGAAUUGGUAAAAGCACUGUCUGCUCCAUUCUAAUUGAUUUCUGUCAUGAAGUCUGGCGUUGUUUGUGGCCUUUGUAUUUGAAUAAAUUCCCAAUGAACGAAAUUCAAUUGCGCGAGUAUUUAAAUGGUUUUGAGUCAUUGGGUUUCCUUCAAGUGUUAGGAGCUAUAGAUGGUUGUCAUAUAGAAGUUCGCCCAGCUGCAGAAGAUGCUGUUGACUACUAAAAUUACAAAGGCUGGUAUUCCACAGUUCUUUUGGCUUUAGUAGAUGCAAGAUGUCGCUUUAUAUACAUUAACGUUGGUAGUCCGGGCCGUUGUAAUGACUCUUCAAUAUUUGAGAGAUCAUCUUUAAAAGGCGAGUUGGCACAAUCUACUAUAUUUAAAGACAUGAGUAAACAAAUAUCGUCAGUUAAUGUUCCAGUCGUUUUGUUGGGCGACUCUGCGUUCAAAUUUGAUGAACAUUUGAUGAAACCGUACCCAUUUUGUGUAAACCAACCUUUGGAUAUAAAAAAAAUCCAACUAUGUGCUCUCGAAAUGCCGAAGAGUAGUGGAGAAUGCUUUCGGUCAUUUAAAGGAAAGGUUUAGACGGGUUGGAAAAGGCUUGGAUAACCACAUGGCCAACAUAAAAGCGUGCUGCGUUUUGCACAACUUUUUAAAUGAGGAAAAUAAGGAAAUUAAUGAAAAGUGGAUUGCAGCACAACAAAUCGAAAACGAAUCUCGGCAGUUGCCAGAAGACGUCUCUAACAUUUGUGGAAAUGUCAACCCAAGAGCAGAGGAAAUAAGACAAGCAUUCGUUUCGUAUUUCGCAUCGCUUGACGAUGGCCGAGAGCAACCACGCGACGUAGAAGGUCCAUCGCUUGGGCUUGGGAGCGGCGGCUCUCCCUCUGUAUCGUCCUCAAUGUAAAUUGGUUCCAUGUCAACUGAAAAUAGAAGAAACAAAUAAAAGUGCUUCUGAACAUAAACGUAGUCAAAAAGAAAUUGGCGACAUUGCAGGUGUGGCUGAUGUGACCAUAAGGCAAUCGUACAAAUUGAUGUAUCCGCAUGCACUGAAGCUAUUUCCUGAGGAUUUCAAGUUCACUACGCCUAUUGAUCAACUACCACAGAUGUAGCUUUGUAGCUUAAACUAAUUAUUCGCUAUCACCAUUACAAUAAAUAAACAUAAAAUCUAUAAUUUGUAAUUUAAAAAUGAUA